UAAAUGAACUUAAGUUCAACUUAAAAUAUUUAUAAACAAUUAAAGUAAAAAUAUUAUUUUAAAGUUAAUUAAUAGAGGUUCAGCUCUAUUAAUAAAGGACACAACCUAAAACAAUGAAUAAAGAUUAUAUUAAUUAAAGAAAUUAAUUAUGUGGGCCUAAAAGCAGCAAUCAAAUAAAAAGCGUCAAAGCUUAAUUUAAUAAAUCUUAUUAUAACAAUAAAACAUCUUAAUUCAUUAAAACUAUUAAGUUAAUCUAUAAAAAUAGAUGUAAUUAUUCUAGAAUGAGUAAUAAGAAGAAUAUUCUCUUAGUGCAAGUGUAAAUCAGAACGAAUAUUUCACUGAUAAUUAACGAACCUAUAGAAGGAAUAAUAAUAUUUUUACAAGAAAAACUUAUUUUAUCUAUCGUUUACUCAACACAGAAGCACAUUAGAAGAUUAAAAAUAUAGGAAGGAACUCGGCAAACAUGAACUUCGCCUGUUUACCAAAAACAUCGCCUCUUGCAAUUAAAGUAUAAGAGGUCCUGCCUGCCCAGUGACACUAAGUUUAACGGCCGCGGUAUUAUGACCGUGCAAAGGUAGCGUAAUCACUUGUCUUUUAAAUAAAGACCAGUAUGAAUGGCAAGACGAAAGUUCAACUGUCUCCCUAAAUUAAUCAAUGAAAUUGAUUUUUCCGUGCAGAAGCGGAAAUAUAAUUAUAAGACGAGAAGACCCUAUGGAGCUUUAAACAUAUGAUCAAUUGCAUAACAUAAAAUCCAAAAGAUAAAAUAUUUAAUAAAACAAUAUGAUCAAAAUUUUAGGUUGGGGCGACCACGGAGAAAAACAAAACCUCCGAGAUGAAAAGAAUAUCUUAAUUCAAGAACUACAAUUCUAAAAAAUAAAAUAUUUAACAUAAUUGAUCCAAUACUUUGAUCAACGAACCAAGUUACCCUAGGGAUAACAGCGCAAUCCUCUCCAAGAGUCCCUAUCGACGAGCGGGUUUACGACCUCGAUGUUGGAUCAGGACAUCCCAAUGGUGCAGCCGCUAUUAAAGGUUCGUUUGUUCAACGAUUAAAGU
This 1053-nucleotide ribosomal RNA is filed under the name Hynobius kimurae (Hida salamander). Its description in RNAcentral is "partial 16S rRNA". It matches the Rfam family "Bacterial large subunit ribosomal RNA", at positions 861 to 2594 of the family's 2925-position model. The record is from RNAcentral. Lineage: Eukaryota; Metazoa; Chordata; Amphibia; Caudata; Hynobiidae.